GAGAGAGAGAGAGAGAGAGAGAGAGAGAGAGAGAGAGAGAGAUUCUCUUUACCCACCACAGUGAAGAGAUUCUCUGUCAAUCAAUGUUCUUAGUUUCUCAGUCUCACUCCCCCUACUGUAUGAAGUCCCAAAACUGCCUUGAAUGUCCAAAAACUCUCAUCCGACUGCAAUAAAGGUCGUGGGUGAAGGCAAACUCGGUCCAACCUCGAAUGAAUGUACAGUGAUCCACAAUAUUUCAGUGCCAAAGGAGAAAAAUGGCCUAUAUGAGAAACCGCCAAUGGAAUGGCGAUUGAAUUGUAAGAACAUAAUUCAAAUCGUUGCGGUUGAAUUAUAUAGGGUUCAAUCUCUUUGAUUCUUCCAUUUAGGGUUUCUCUCAUUUGUUGCGGUUGCAGCCUUGCAGGGCUCUGCUGAAGUGAAGUAGUAAAGAUUAGGAGUAUCAAGAAAAAUUUGAAAGGAUAUUGUCUAAGGUGGGUUGACUUCCACCAAAUAGGUAGAUCAACUGCAUUGUUAGCGGGCUUCAAGGCACUAGUAAGGCUGAUGUUAUGGCAACACAGCUAGCAACUAUCGCUAACGCCAUUAGGUUAGCAUAAAUGUUUGAGGCUAAGGACAUGUCACAAAAGCUUACUAAUGAACCAAAUGAGAAGCCAAGCGGGGUUACCUCCUUGCCUAUUGAAUGCUGAUGACCAGGGAAAUGCAAGACAGGAGCCAAGGACCUUUGUUACAAUUGUAGCAGAUUGGUUCUGUACGGGAGUAUCAAGAAAACACGGGGACUACAAUAGCAAGAAUUGGAUGUGAAGCGCUAGUCAUUUCUUCCAUAAAUUCCUGAAUCAAGUGAAUCCUUUCUUCUAAAAGCAUCCUCUUUGACACUUUUGGACCCUCCAGGAGUGUCAGCGGGCUGGUUCGGCUCAGUUUCGGUUUGGUUCUAUCGGUUGUGUUUUACACUAAUCGAAACCGAACCAAUAAGGAUUUUUCGGUUUCAAUGUGGUUUGGGUUUGGUUCGGUACCAGUUUGAGUUAUUCGAUUCGAUGCGAUUGGUUCGGUUUUUUAACAUGAUAUGGAACUGGUAUGAGCCCCAUUAUAAACCGACCCAAGAUGACAAGAACCCCAUUCAUGAUGGCAAACCGCCAAACCCUAAAAGUUAAAACAUAUUCAAGAGAAAUCUUGUUUCUCCAGCCACUGCUGCGGUUAACUACCACCAUCACCUCAGUUGUAUCCACCACCACUGCCACCCUCACGGCAUCCAUAGCCACCAGGCCCACCACCACCACCACCACCAUGGUCCACGGCUUUCUCCAUCAACACCGUCACAGCAUCCAUAGCCACCACCACAACCACCACCAUAGCUGCCACCAUCUCCGCUGCAGUAACCACCGCCUCCACCACCACAACCUCUGGUUUGAGCCUCACAACACCUCAGACGAAAAGGAGAAACAGAACUCAAAAGAGCUCGAAUCACCUCCGCCGUCGCUGUUGACUGGUUCUUGGAUCAAAACCCUCACUCAAAACUUUGCAAAACCUAGAAGGAAAAGAAAAAGAAAAACAAAGAAUAGAAGACUUUUGAGAGCUGGAGAGUGAAGGAGA
This is a long non-coding RNA of Macadamia integrifolia, 1581 nucleotides long. RefSeq lists it as uncharacterized. Lineage: Eukaryota; Viridiplantae; Streptophyta; Magnoliopsida; Proteales; Proteaceae. The transcript is spliced from 3 exons. The record is from RefSeq and is a predicted model, not a curated record.